Molecule: long non-coding RNA, 952 nt
Organism: Osmerus eperlanus (European smelt)
Lineage: Eukaryota; Metazoa; Chordata; Actinopteri; Osmeriformes; Osmeridae
Exons: 3
Source: RefSeq, a predicted model, not a curated record
GGGAGUGUGAAUGUGCGGUAGCAGGGCGUGGAACUUACACACACAAACGAGUUUCGCUAUUUGCUACUCCGUCAUUCACCAACUCUCAGUGGACAGAAUCAAAGGACAACACAGAUAAACCCAUUAAACAACUUUCUUGAGGAAAACAAUAUAAUGGAAUCUGCUGGGAGAAAAGGAGAAACAGUCUUUGGAUAAAUAGCACUAAACUUGAACCACAGUACUCAUAUCUUAAGAAAGAAGCCACUGUGACUAUAGAACAAAUCACAUCUCAGAGAAAGAUUAUGGAAAAGGAUCUUAAAGAAAUGGAGGAAAUUGCUCUGAAAACUAAACUUCCGACCUCAGACAAGACAAAUGCUUCUAUUGACAGCACCUGCAUUGAAGUGGGUCAGGCUUCUUCCACCAGAGACAAGGACCACAGGAUACUAGCUAUCGCCAGUAUCAUUUGUGGAUUGUCCUGCAUUGGCAUCGUGGCGCUGAUCAACUCUGUCAAGGCUGAGACAACAAGAACUGCUGAGGGAAACACAGACAGAGCUCGGCACUAUUCCUAUCGGGCAAAGAAGCUUGCGGUCAUUUCUAUUGUGUUGUGGCUUCUUGUUCUGAGUCUCACACCACCACUUCUGGCACUUGUGUCAUAUUUGUUGACUCUAAUAGACUGAGCGUAUCUUGACAUACGAAAACAAGCUGAAACAAUGCAUUUGUUUCGGUUAAAUUGUUACCAACUUUAUUACAUAAUUUAUUACAUAAUGUAACUAAAUGUGCUUUAUUUUUGAUAAUUGCAUUGCAUGUUGUUUAAGAAAAGGUAAAGAACUACUGUAACAGAAAUGUCUACUUACAAAGAUUUUUGUAGAAAGCUCUGUGUCGGGGUCAUUAAUAUACACACAUUCAUUCUUUUGUUCUUUCUCUGGUUGCAACAAGAAAUACAACCAAUGUGUACCACAUCAUGAAUUAUCAU